Molecule: ribosomal RNA, 497 nt
Filed under: uncultured bacterium
Lineage: Bacteria
Description: partial 16S ribosomal RNA
Rfam family: Bacterial small subunit ribosomal RNA
Source: RNAcentral
GAUGAACGCUGGCGGCGUGCCUAAUACAUGCAAGUCGAGCGAACGGACGAGAAGCUUGCUUCUCUGAUGUUAGCGGCGGACGGGUGAGUAACACGUGGAUAACCUACCUAUAAGACUGGGAUAACUUCGGGAAACCGUAGCUAAUACCGGAUAAUAUUUUGAACCGCAUGGUUCAAAAGUGAAAGACGGUCUUGCUGUCACUUAUAGAUGGAUCCGCGCUGCAUUAGCUAGUUGGUAAGGUAACGGCUUACCAAGGCAACGAUGCAUAGCCGACCUGAGAGGGGGAUCGGCCACACUGGAACUGAGACACGGUACAGACUCCUACGGGAGGCAGCAGUAGGGAAUCUUCCGCAAUGGGCGAAAGCAUGACGGAGCAACGCCGCGUGAGUGAUGAAGGUCUUCGGAUCGUAAAACUCUGUUAUUAGGGAAGAACAUAUGUGUAAGUAACUGUGCACAUCUUGACGGUACCUAAUCAGAAAGCCACGGCUAACUACGUG